CCCUUAGAUGUUCUGGGCCGCACGCGCGCUACACUGACUACUUCAACGAGUUGUUUCCUUGAUCGAAAGGUCUGGGUAAUCUUUGAAAGGUAGUCGUGAUGGGGAUAGAUCCUUGCAAUUUUUGAUCUUCAACGAGGAAUUCCUAGUAAACGCAAGUCAUCAGCUUGCAUUGAUUACGUCCCUGCCCUUUGUACACACCGCCCGUCGCACCUACCGAUUGAAUGGUCCGGUGAAUCUUUAGGACUGUGGCUGAGGCCUUGCCUUGUGCGGGUCUGGCCGUGGGAAUUUAGUUAAACCUUACCAUUUAGAGGAAGGUGAAGUCGUAGCA
Molecule: ribosomal RNA, 328 nt
Filed under: uncultured eukaryote
Lineage: Eukaryota
Description: partial 18S ribosomal RNA
Rfam family: Eukaryotic small subunit ribosomal RNA
Source: RNAcentral